Molecule: non-coding RNA, 82 nt
Organism: Nematostella vectensis (starlet sea anemone)
Lineage: Eukaryota; Metazoa; Cnidaria; Anthozoa; Actiniaria; Edwardsiidae
Source: Rfam
GUUGCGGUGGCCGAGUGGUUAAGUCGUUGGACUAGAAAUCCAAUGGGAUCUUCCCGCGCAGGCCCGAAUCCUGCCCGCAACG